Molecule: small nuclear RNA, 20 nt
Filed under: Arabidopsis thaliana (thale cress)
Lineage: Eukaryota; Viridiplantae; Streptophyta; Magnoliopsida; Brassicales; Brassicaceae
Description: snRNA_01783
Source: RNAcentral
UGAAAAGAGAGUCAAAGAGU